ACCCCGUCCUUUUCUAAGGCUUGCAACCACGUCCAGCUCGACGUCCUGUGCUUCGGGGAUGGUGGCGCUUCUGCUCCUCGUGCGGGAGGAUGAUGCAAAAUCGUGGAUGAAGUUCGGGAACUCCUGGUCUUGACCGACGCCCUCUGCUCCGGUCCCCGACACAGCAACCAGAUCGUGGGUGCCAUCCUGCCCUAAGGUUACAUGCACUACCUGUCUCUCCUUGAUCUGAUCUCUCAAAGUCCCGAUCUAUUUCAGCAAAACUAUCUUCUAUCUAUUUGAUACUCUUUUUUGGUAAACAGUUUUAACCUAUUGUAAUUGCUCUCAUUCUGGAGCGAGGUCACUAUUGACAAGUCAUUGCAGUGCUACUACCGCAUUAAUCUUAGCAGUGAAGCUAUGGUCUGUUCUUUGGUACAACAAUGAAAUGUUAAUAUGCCAUUCUCCUUUAUGCUUUGUGUCAGUGCACUGUGGUAUGACACCAACACUUAUUUGGCACCUACAUUGCAUCGACAAUUUGCCAGCUUACAGUUUGUACCAUCGAGAAUUUGCACGACUUUACACCUGCAGCUGUACCACUAUACUAUAAAUAUGUUUUGAUGUCUAAACUGGUGUUGGUACUGAACCUGAUAGUGUAUUUGGCGUAUCUUUUCUGUAGAAUUAGUACCAGAGUUCUAUUUGUAGUAUUAUUAAUAGUAAAGAGAUAAUUAGACCAUAGAGUCGCUUUUGAUUUGGUUUAUUCCUUCAGAUCAUGCAAUAGAUGUAAGCACACAUUUAAGUACUUUAUCUUAUUACAAAAACUGAACAAAGAUAUACCAGCAAUACGUUUCAUGACGUAGUGUUAUCUGUGCAAGAAAAUUGCUUGAAUGAUUAUUAAUCAAUAUAAGCAAUCUAUCAUGUAGGUUUUGUUCGAUCCUACACUUAAAGAAAAUCAUACUGAAGAUCUGAGCUUAAGUGUUCCAACAGCUGAAGCACCAGCUCAAGAUGAAAGGAUCCUCUUAAUAUGAUUGUAGGUCCAUUCCUGUAAAGUGCAGUUAGAAUAUGGAAUCCACCUGGAACUUGGUUUUAAAAACAGAAAGCAUAUGGAAUUUUGAGGUUUCUGCUUUCUAUGUGAGUAUCUUGGUGCAUGCUUGUUUCUGAAUAAAAUGCAGAGGUCAUGAACAAAUUAAAACAUGCUCUCUGAUGGGCAAGGGUAGGUUUAUUUUUAGUUGAAGUGGUAUCAGUUGUAUACUUAUAUACACGCCAUUUGAAAAAUAGUAUGUAUCUCCUUGCAAACUACUACGUAUUAUUUAAAUGUUUUACAUAAGACUGUCCGUCCAGAUACAAUAACUAUUUAGUAUUUUAAUAACUUGAAUUGCACGGCUUGAUCGCUCUGCUUGGGUCUUCUCUUAUGUAUGAGUCACCAUGUGCGGGUUAAAUAAGUGCCCCAGCUUCGGUGAUGCACGGGCGAGGCAACACGAUUUGGUGCAGUGGCCCUCCUUCCAAGAAAUCAAGUUUUUACGUUCAGAUUUUAGAGCUCUUGAGUUUCAGCUUAGUUCAAGGAUAUAAAAGCAUACUCCUUAUGGAUUCAACGAGGAAGACCAUUAGCCACCACCUUUUUAGAAUUGGAUGGUGUGGUGCACCUUCAUCCUGCUGUCCAAUUUCUUAGCUUAUUUGCUUUAAAUGUACUACAGUAUAUAGCAGUAUAAGGAUCCAAUCUUGUGACGCCUCUCCAUUUGCACCAUCGUCAAAAGUUGCACAUGAGUUGAUUCAGACUUUCAGAGUUUUCAUAGAACACCUAGAGUUAAUCAGCCUGAAGGUAUAUCAGAUCCUAUGGAAAGGGGAUCCGGUUCAGAUUUGUCACUACUGUGUGUUGUUGGAUAGCCAUGGUGUGUAUUAGUUUGUUUUUACCACAGUUCGGUUCUUGGUAGUUAGGAUAUCAGGUGUAUACAUUACUUUUCUUAUGAAUUUUUUCUCUUUUAGUGCACUAUCUAUCUAUCUAUCUAUCUAUCUAUCUAUCUAUCUAUCUAAGUUUUCAAAGAAAUUGAUGGCGGUGGCUCAGAGGCGUCGUGGUGAAUGGUGAAGCUUCUAAAAUGGAUGGAAGAGAGGUGGUGACUUGCGGCUGGGAGACGUACAUAUUUGAGGAGAUACGAUUCAUAAGGUUUCAUAUUAACAAAAAAUGAUGAUCUUUGUAAAGUAAUCCGAACAUUUUGUUGAUUCUGGGACAAUUUUAUUCUCCAAUAUGAAUCCGUAAGAAAAGAUAUGACAAUACAUUUGUGCAAAUUGAUAAUGUAAGCUCAUCUCGGAACUUUAUUCUUUUUCUAAGAUUGAUUUACUUGGUGGUGCUAGCUUCCAUUCUGUCAAAACAGGACAUGUGUGCUAUUUCUGAAAAAGGAAGCUUCUCUGUUGGCUGGCAUCCCUGAUGGUGCCUUUAGAUAUGUAGGAAAAGAAAUGGUAUCUCAUAAUUCACUGGAUGUAGACCAGUAGGGUCAAUUACAAAUUGUUGGCUGUAAAUUACUUUCAGUUUCUAGCUUUCAUAAAAAAAUUAGACAUGUACUGUUUAAUUAAAAUUGUGUGAGUAUGUUGUGGUUGAUGGUGGUCCUAUGUGCUGGUUCAAAUUAUCAUGUUGGAUAAUAUUGCUUUUACUAGCAGUUGCAGUGCUCUUAUUAUUAUUUUUCACAAAUAUCAUCAUGUUUUGCUAUUGAUGUAAUGCUAUAUUCUUUGACUGAAAUCAAACCCUUUAGUUGCUAUUUUGGUGCUUUUAUUAUUGUGUGUGUAUUCAAUAAUGGCUUCAGUUUCAAUUAAAAUCGUUAACUGGACUGCCAUGAUUGCGGUGGCGUAUUAUUCGGCAAAAAGUAUGUUGCCUUUUAAUAUUUU
RNAcentral lists this long non-coding RNA (2850 nucleotides) under Triticum aestivum (bread wheat). RNAcentral's name for it is "long non-coding RNA (TAES_LNC020779)". Lineage: Eukaryota; Viridiplantae; Streptophyta; Magnoliopsida; Poales; Poaceae. The record is from RNAcentral.